Molecule: ribosomal RNA, 301 nt
Filed under: uncultured bacterium
Lineage: Bacteria
Description: partial 16S ribosomal RNA
Rfam family: Bacterial small subunit ribosomal RNA
Source: RNAcentral
CAGCAGCCGCGGUAAUACAGAGGGUGCAAGCGUUAAUCGGAAUUACUGGGCGUAAAGCGCGCGUAGGUGGUUUGUUAAGUUGGAUGUGAAAUCCCCGGGCUCAACCUGGGAACUGCAUCCAAAACUGGCAAGCUAGAGUAUGGUAGAGGGUGGUGGAAUUUCCUGUGUAGCGGUGAAAUGCGUAGAUAUAGGAAGGAACACCAGUGGCGAAGGCGACCACCUGGACUGAUACUGACGCUGAGGUACGAAAGCAUGGGGAGCAAACAGGAUUAGAUACCCCAGUAGUCCCUGUCUCUUAUAA